Molecule: long non-coding RNA, 1099 nt
Organism: Cloeon dipterum
Lineage: Eukaryota; Metazoa; Arthropoda; Insecta; Ephemeroptera; Baetidae
Exons: 4
Source: RefSeq, a predicted model, not a curated record
GCUGUGUAUAAAAACAACAUGACGGACCGGCACGCGAUUGCAUCAUCCUAGCCGCCCGCGUUGAUCUCCUUGUUUUCGGUGGUUUUUGACAGAUUAAGUGCCUGAACGGACCCAUAAUCGUGUUCUGGAUGUUUCUAAAAGGAGGUGUCAUUUUCCUGGGCAAAGAAUGAAUUUUUGCCGAAUUUCCUGGAAUGCCCUUUUCCUGAUUGCACGAGCUUUGAUCUGACUUCGGACUCUCGCAGUUGGACGGUUUGAAUGAACAUCUUGGCCUGGCAAUCUUCAAUUAGGAUGCGCGUCAUUUCUCUAUAGAAAAGAGAAGAAUCUUUGCUGGUAUGUGUCGCUGCUGAGUUAUCGUCGAUCUUGGAGAUGGACCAAACUUGCAGCCUUGGCAUUUAGAUCUCUCAUGAGCAACAAGGGCAUCCUGAGAAGCUGCCAAAGAUAUGGUUCUUCUGCGUCGUUGGCAAAAUGUGAAUAGCAGAGGCCGGAAGAGCAAGAAAAUGAAAAAACAACUCAAUUCACCAGUCACUCAAGCCCUUAAUGUUUUAAGCCGCCAGUAUUUUGGAUGUUAUGUACUAUUUUAAUGGGUUUGUGGCCUUUGUGGGACCAAAAAAGCUGCUGCACGAUACGAUAACGUGAUAAUUUAAUUAUAAAUAUACUAUUGUGCCUUAAAUUAAAAUAGCAGCUCUCAAUUGAAGAAUAUUAUCCACCAUAUAUGUCAGUGUAAAUUGUAAAAAAGAAAACAGGAACUACUAUCAUGGGAAUUUUUAACUAAUAAUUAUUUAUUUAAAAGUAAUGUAAUUUCUAUUAAAUGGCUUUUUAGCGGGUGCCAUUAAUUUAAAAAUUUAUUUAUGUAUUGUAACGCUCGUCUUUGGAGUUAAUUGCUUUGAUUUACUUUAAGAGUGGCUCAAAGAGCCAACUGCCAGAUUUGUCUCUUGUCUUGGGCUGCUGUUGGGACUCUCGCGUGGGUGUUCCCGUAAUUUAACUUAACUCCUUUGGCCGGUCUGCAGCACCCAGAGCUGGUCACUCGCCUGGUUCGCUCGAAUAAUUAAGUGGUGUUUCGAAAUCUGCAACUGUCAGACGGACAGUGUUAUAAAUAUGA